UCUUUGCAUAGUUUAUUUUACAGAUAUAGAAGCUUACAAUGCAUGCAAUGGCUAGAAAAGGAGAGUGCAUUUAUUAUUUUUUAGGUGUAGAAAUUGAAAAUUUGAGAGGCUUGAUGGGCUAGUAUUUGGAAAGUGAGGCUUAAGUGUUUGCAUUAUAAUUCUAAUAGUUAUGUCGCCUCUUAAUAAUUUGAGAUUUCACUUGGAGAGCAGGAAAAGAAAUCAUGUUAAGUUUGGGUUUUGAGGAUUGCUUUAUCACGAUCAGCCUAGUGGCAUGAUUGGUAGAUUAUCCAAUACAUUCAUCUUUUCAUAGCUCAUGAUCAUAUUGCCUCAUUUGAACGGUAUGAUUCAUUAGUUGCAUGCAUUGUGGAUAGAUCAUACCACCUCAUUUGUGUUUUAUUGUCAUUUUUUUAUAUAUAAUUCAUGUUGCCCAAGAUGACAACCCAAUGAGGUGGAUGAAUUGGGUUUUCCAAUUUUUUUUUUACAAACUUAAACAAUGCUUAAGUAAAACUAAUUUAAACAUCAUUGUGCAAUGUGAGAGUGAUGUAAAAUAAGUAUGCAUAACAAAACGAAGGUAAAUAAAUGCACAAGAUAAGAAUAAGUACAAGCAACUCAAAGACAAAUUUAUAGUGAUUCGGAGCCAAACUCAGCUCCUACAUCUACUCUCCAGGGUUGUCUUUUGGGAAUUCUACUAUAAUCUAUAAAUAAGAUUACAGCUUUGUUGUUUUCUAGGUUUACAACCAAAUCCAAUUGAUUUUUCUUGGCAAUCAAUCAAAACCAAGCUGUUUUGCUGGGAUGGCUAGAACAACCCCAAGUUCCAACACCUACGAACUCUUUAUUGACUUCCAAAUUUAGUGAAAUCUAGUCGAUUUUCUAGGGUAAUCGAUCACAACCUAGCUGUUUUUCGGAUACAGCCAAAUUUUACGAGGCAACUGAUUUUUCCUGAAUCUUGUAUAAUAUAACAUCUACAG
This 968-nucleotide long non-coding RNA is filed under the name Elaeis guineensis (African oil palm). RNAcentral's name for it is "long non-coding RNA (EGUI_LNC066173)". The record is from RNAcentral. Lineage: Eukaryota; Viridiplantae; Streptophyta; Magnoliopsida; Arecales; Arecaceae.